This 82-nucleotide transfer RNA is filed under the name Nostoc sp. HK-01. RNAcentral's name for it is "tRNA-Ser". It matches the Rfam family "tRNA", at positions 9 to 71 of the family's 71-position model. From Rfam's summary of the family: Transfer RNA (tRNA) molecules are approximately 80 nucleotides in length. Their secondary structure includes four short double-helical elements and three loops (D, anti-codon, and T loops). Lineage: Bacteria; Bacillati; Cyanobacteriota; Cyanophyceae; Nostocales; Nostocaceae. The record is from RNAcentral.
GGCUGAGUGGUUAAAAGCAUCCUCCUGCUAAGAGGAAGCGGGUAGUUAAUGCCCGUCGAGGGUUCAAAUCCCUCCUUAGAAC